AAGCAGUCUCAAAAACGAAACC
Molecule: small nuclear RNA, 22 nt
Filed under: Arabidopsis thaliana (thale cress)
Lineage: Eukaryota; Viridiplantae; Streptophyta; Magnoliopsida; Brassicales; Brassicaceae
Description: snRNA_04379
Source: RNAcentral